CUAGGUCACAAUAAUGGCUGCCACCAAAGUCUCAGUCCCUGGGGAAGUCUCACCUCUCACUGAGAUGCCACCAGAGCCCAUCAGGUUUCUGUUCCCAAAGAAUUUCUGGAAACUUGUGACCUGCCAGUUUCAGUCCUGGAGAAAGACAACUGUUGCCAGUGAACUCAAUUUCCUUUCAUAACUUGCUUCUGUCACCUAAAAUCCAAAUUCUUGGACUUGGGUUGGAAAUGAGGCACUGGUAAUCUGAGAAAAAGUUUUCUCAAUGUCUGUUUUAGUAAGAAUGUGGAAGAACCUUAGUUCCAAAUGUUUCCACUCUGGAAAUCACACAGGGCAAUAAGGAAAGUGCAGAAACACCCUGCAUAUGACCAUGAUGGAGCUAAAGGACAAACAGAGCAUCACCACGAAGCCUGCAGAUGCUAACAAACAACAAGCAACACUACCAAAAAGCUCCAUGCACAAAACUGACAACUCGGGUGAAAUGAACCAAUUCUUUGAGAUUCAAAAAGCUACUAAAACUCACUUAAGAUGAAAUAGUUAGCCUGAACUGUCCGAUACUAUUAUAGAUGUUGAAGUUGAGGAAAAAGAGAUCUCCAAUCUCAGAAAGUUUCACUGGCAAAUGUCACUGAGCAUUUAAAGAAAUAGCGCCUAUUCUACAGAAUCUUUCCAGAAAAUCAAAGAGGAAAGAACACCUCCCCAUGCAUUUUAUGAGAUCAACAUUACCCCAAUAUCAACACGAAAGAUGGUACCCAAAAAAGAGAAAAAAGGGAGAAACCUAGAGAUCGAUAUCCUGCAUGAAUAUAGAUGCAAAAAUUCUCCACAAAAUAGUAGCAAACUGAUUCCAGUAAUAUCUAAAAAUAAUAAGUGAGAUUUAUCCUUAGAAUGAAAGACUGGUACCAUAUUUCGAAAGCUUUAAGUGUAAUCAACUAUAUUAACAGUCUAAAGAAAAAAAUAUAUGAUUAUAUCAAUUGAUACAGAAAAAGCAUUUGACAAAAUUAAAUACCUCUUCACAGUAAAAACCUGUAUGUGAGUGUUUAUAGAAUUCUUCACAAUGGCAAAGUACUGGAAACAACCCAAAUGUCUUUCAGCAGGUAAAUGGAUAAAUAAACUCUGGUAUGUACAUGUAUAUAAUGGAAUACUACUCAGCAAUAAAGAGGAACCAACUAUUAUGACAUGCAACAACUUAGAUGAAUCUCAAAGGCAUUAUGCUGAGUGAAAGAAUCCAGUCUCAAGAGUUUACAUACUGUAUGAUUCCAAUAAUAUGACAUUCUCUAAAUGACAAAUUAUGGUGGCAGAGAACAGAUCAAAGUUGCCAGGGGUUAAAGGUGUAGGAGGG
This 1333-nucleotide long non-coding RNA is filed under the name Equus asinus (donkey). RNAcentral's name for it is "lncRNA (ENSEASG00005036687.1)". The record is from RNAcentral. Lineage: Eukaryota; Metazoa; Chordata; Mammalia; Perissodactyla; Equidae.